GAUGAACGCUGGCGGCGUGCCUAAUACAUGCAAGUCGAGCGAACAGAUGAGAAGCUUGCUUCUCUGAUGUUAGCGGCGGACGGGUGAGUAACACGUGGGUAACCUACCUAUAAGACUGGGAUAACUCCGGGAAACCGGGGCUAAUACCGGAUAAUAUUUUGAACCGCAUGGUUCAAUAGUGAAAGACGGUUUCGGCUGUCACUUAUAGAUGGACCCGCGCCGUAUUAGCUAGUUGGUAAGGUAACGGCUUACCAAGGCGACGAUACGUAGCCGACCGGAGAGGGUGAUCGGCCACACGGGAACUGAGACACGGUCCAGACUCCUACGGGAGGCAGCAGUAGGGAAUCUUCCGCAAUGGGCGAAAACCUGACGGAGCAACGCCGCGUGAGUGAUGAAGGUCUUCGGAUCGUAAAACUCCGUUGUUAGGGAAGAACAAAUUUGUUAGCAACUGAACAAGUCUUGACGGUACCUAACCAGAGAGCCACGGCUAACUACGUGCCAGCCGCCGCCGUAA
RNAcentral lists this ribosomal RNA (514 nucleotides) under uncultured bacterium. Its description in RNAcentral is "partial 16S ribosomal RNA". It matches the Rfam family "Bacterial small subunit ribosomal RNA", at positions 28 to 523 of the family's 1533-position model. The record is from RNAcentral.